UACGAAGGAUGCAAGCGUUAUCCGGAUUUAUUGGGUUUAAAGGGAGCGUAGGCGGUCUUAUAAGUCAGUGGUGAAAUCUUGUCGCUUAACGACAAACGUGCCAUUGAUACUGUAGGACUUGAGUACAGAUGCCGUUGGCGGAAUGUGUCGUGUAGCGGUGAAAUGCAUAGAUAUGACACAGAACACCGAUUGCGAAGGCAGCUGACGAAACUGUAACUGACGCUGAGGCUCGAAAGCGUGGGGAGCGAACAGG
Molecule: ribosomal RNA, 253 nt
Filed under: uncultured bacterium
Lineage: Bacteria
Description: partial 16S ribosomal RNA
Rfam family: Bacterial small subunit ribosomal RNA
Source: RNAcentral